AUCCUUUUGUUCAUGAGCAUGAUGACUGGGUGUUCAUGCAUAAUGUAUGAGAUGUGCCUCCCUCAAACCUUGUUACAACAUGGGCACAUUACCGAUCUGACA
Molecule: small nucleolar RNA, 102 nt
Organism: Octodon degus (degu)
Lineage: Eukaryota; Metazoa; Chordata; Mammalia; Rodentia; Octodontidae
Product: small nucleolar RNA U13
Exons: 1
Source: RefSeq, a predicted model, not a curated record